This 409-nucleotide ribosomal RNA is filed under the name uncultured beta proteobacterium. Its description in RNAcentral is "bacterial SSU rRNA". It matches the Rfam family "Bacterial small subunit ribosomal RNA", at positions 198 to 588 of the family's 1533-position model. The record is from RNAcentral. Lineage: Bacteria; Pseudomonadati; Pseudomonadota; Betaproteobacteria.
GGAGGAAAGCAGGGGAUCGCAAGACCUUGCGCUCAUUGAGCGGCCGAUGCCUGAUUAGCUAGUUGGUGAGGUAAAGGCUUACCAAGGCGACGAUCAGUAGCUGGUCUGAGAGGACGACCAACCACACUGGGACUGAGACACGGCCCAGACUCCUACGGGAGGCAGCAGUGGGGAAUUUUGGACAAUGGGGGAAACCCUGAUCCAGCCAUGCCGCGUGAGUGAAGAAGGCCUUCGGGUUGUAAAGCUCUUUCAGCCGGAACGAAACGGUCACGGCUAAUACCUGUGACCACUGACGGUACCGGAAGAAGAAGCACCGGCUAACUACGUGCCAGCAGCCGCGGUAAUACGUAGGGUGCGAGCGUUAAUCGGAAUUACUGGGCGUAAAGCGUGCGCAGGCGGUUUUGUAAGU